AUGGGCCCGUGGGGUCAGCGUGGGGAGGAGCUGGGAGCCCGUGGCCUUGGCUGGGUGCUCCAGUCAGCACAGACGCGGGCUAGGUGCCUUCUCCGAGGCGGCUGCUGGGAUCCGGAGGUGGACACCAGAGACACGGCCCCUCCUCUCGGAUCUCCGGGCGGCUCUGCCCAGUGCAGCUCGUCCACCUGCUCUGCUCUUUGGUGCCCGGGACUCUGCAUCCUGGCUACAGUGACCUCAAGGCUGGGCCACCGCUCAAAGACCUCAGCCUCCCUACCCUUGGGAUGGAGCCUCUGGUGGACCAGAGCCCUUCUUGGCUCCCCUCCUCUGAUGGCAGUCCCUUCCGGAGGGGACAUCCCAGCACUUGCAGGAGAGCCCCGGUAAAAGCCGGAAGUUGUCCUCCCAGGGCGGGAGGUGGCCGGAUUCCUCCGCGGGACUGCAGGUGCCAAGUCACAGUGCUGGAGGCGGGGCCGUCAAGUCCAGGAAGGGGCCUCUCCACUGUGUCCUCACAUGGCCUCUUCUCUGUGGAGGGACAGCAAGCAAGCUCAG
This 546-nucleotide long non-coding RNA is filed under the name Ictidomys tridecemlineatus (thirteen-lined ground squirrel). Its description in RNAcentral is "lncRNA (ENSSTOG00000034798.1)". The record is from RNAcentral. Lineage: Eukaryota; Metazoa; Chordata; Mammalia; Rodentia; Sciuridae.